This is a long non-coding RNA of Lathyrus oleraceus (garden pea), 2388 nucleotides long. RefSeq lists it as uncharacterized. NCBI's taxonomy places the organism in Eukaryota, Viridiplantae, Streptophyta, Magnoliopsida, Fabales, Fabaceae. The record is from RefSeq and is a predicted model, not a curated record. The transcript is spliced from 2 exons.
CAGGCCAUAAAAACCUAAGGCUCAAAACUCAUCCCUUCUAUCAAAUCGGGCAGAUCUUGGAGGCCCAAAACCCUUUAUGUGAAGCCCAAAACAAGGGUAAUGGGAGAAACCGAAUCGUCAGCCGCUCCACCUUCAUGGAUGUGCAUGCGUCGUUUGGAUUCCCUAGUGGCGGGCAGCUGUGCUAGGAAUAGGGACAAACCUUGGGAACAUCCUAAGAGAAUAUGGUAUAUCAUGUUUACCAAUGACAAAAAAACUGCUAUCCUUUAUUGUUGUCAACCAAUUAAUUAAUAAUGAAAUGAAACUACCAUUACUAACAUCAACAAUAUAAUGAAAACUUGUGAUCUGCUCCAAUUCCUCCUCAUUCAAACAUUUCCACUCUUUGCAUCUUCUUUACUCAGCUCCGGCGGCAAGGAACGGGAACCGCCUACGAGUAACUACCCUUCGAAAAACCACAAAUUAAACAUGAACCCAAGCUUAUUGUAAACCAUGAACAUGGAUCUAUAUCUAUCCUUCUCUAAAAAUCCACCCUUUGUUCAGAUCGGUACUUCAAACUCUACUUUGCCAAUCUUAAAAAUGCGACUUAUCCUUAGAACCAAAAAAACAAACAACAUUCGAUUCUAAAACAUAAACAAGAAGCAUCGCAAAACAAGUAUAUGGAAGGAAACGAAUUAAAGCUCAGCUUAUUCAAAAUUCAAAUCGAAAAAUCAAGUUCAAUCACGACCUAUUAUGCUCAUGCGUUUGUUCUAACACUCUGAAAUCCAGAAAGAAGAAAACAUCGGUCGGAAAUUUACUUAGACCGUCAGAUUCAAGUGAGCGCUCCCCUUUUCUUAUUUUUCCGGCUCAAUUAGCUUCCUUCUUCAAAUUCUCUUCUGCGCUCGAAUCGAACCGUCUAAGGUUUAGCAAUCAGGGUCCCCUUUAUAGAUGGAGAGUGAGGUCCUCAAAUCAUGUGUGGAUCAUGAGCUGGCAGAGGAUCCCAGAAUUAUUCUGUUAGGUUUCAAUAUCCUCAGAUUUGGUGGGGACCAAAUAUAUGACAUGUAUGAUUUUUCUCUCUAUAGUGUAACCUUCAAAUUUUCUAGAACAAGUGGUCCCCUAGACUCAAUUCUCACAACUGGAAAUUUUACUACCCAGAUUUGCUAUUCUAUAAUAGGUCUUUUUACUGCUGUAAGAAUUUGAUUCCCACUUUUUACUAUCGUGUGCUUUCAACCCAUAUUUUCGAACUGUGUUUGCAGUAUGUAUACGGGGCAAUAUUACUAUCGUGUGCUUUCCACCGUCCUGUACUUGGCUUGGAUCUCAUACAAGUGCCUUGCCUUGACUUAUACUCUCCUUGUUGUUACGUUAUGCUUGUUACUGCAGAUUUGCAGGAUUUCACAUAGGUGACAUAACAAGUCCUUAUUCACUGCCUUGGUUGUGAUGUGGCUUAUGUUUUGGCUUAAGUUAUUGCAUGACUUGCAGCAUUUGGCAAUACUAUUCUGUCUUACAAUACCGAUCCACUGCAGAUUUGUUCGUCCUGCAUUGUUGGUUUAGGAUGUUUGUUGCCUGCGUUUGGGACUAAGUCUUCUUGUUGGAUUGCUUUGUUUUGUAAAAAUGAAUUGUGGUUGUAACACAUUCUUGGCUCAAUGCAGGAUGGUCUUUGUUGACUGAUAUAUCAGGGUGAUUUCGGCAAGCCGAUUGUGAUUUUUCUGUGGGAAGCUUCUCCAAUAGGCACAUUCGUCCUGCCUGCUUUGAUCCUUCCUAGCUCUUAUUUGUGCAUUAGUUCUUUGGUUUUAUAAAACUAAAUCGUGUAUUUGUCUGUAUGAUCCUAAUGUAUGUACAUUCAAUUCAAAUUGGUGGUUUGGUAACAGAUUUUGGUCGUGGUUCAGACUUUUAUUUAUGAAAACCAGUAGCAUCCAUUAUGCCUUUUGCUUUGGAGUAACAUAACUUAGCUUUUACCUAUGCAGUUAUGAUUUGUGGUUCUCACGGUCUUAUGGAUGCAUUGCAGGAGAUAGGCGUUACGAAGCUUAUGUUGGUGGUGUGUUACACGACAUGGUUAUCACUCACAUCAUGACUUGGUUUGUUUUCCUUCUUGCUAAUGUUUAUGGUCAUGGCAUUAAGACGGGAAAUUGAAGCAUCCAUACACCAAUGGUCCAACCAAGAAUCUAAAUAGGAUUCAAAGACGUGAACUAGAACUAGGAUGGGGAUUUGGGGAUGAAAAGGGUUGGAUUUGAUCUUAGGCAACGGUUACCAAACUUUGUAACUUUCAUAAUAACCAUCAUAUAGAUUACAAUGAAUGAUGCUUCCAUGAUUAUUUGAUAUGGUCUGAUUGUGUUAACAACACUAAAAGUCAAUUUGUAAUCAACCUGAUAAAACAACAUUUCUGAUCUUUAAUUUAAUCUCUUUUUUUUCUUUUAA